AGUGAACGCUGGCGGCAGGCCUAACACAUGCAAGUCGAACGGUAACAGGCUGCAGGUUUGUGCUUCGCUGACGAGUGUCGGACGGGUGAGAAGUGUCUGGCAAACUGUCGGAUGUAGGGGGAUAUCUAGUGGGAAGGGUAGCUAAUAUCGCAUAACGUCGCAAGAACGGAGAGGGGGGGCUUUUGGCAUCUUGCCAGCGGGUGUGCCCAGAUGGGAUUAGCUAGGGGGGGGGGUAACGGCUCCCCUAGGCGACGAUCCGUAGCUGGUGUGAGAGGAUGAUCAGCCACACUGGAACUGAGACACGGUCCAGACUCCUACGAGAGGCAGCAGUGGGGAAUAUUGGACAAUAGGCGCAAGCCUGAUCCAGCCAUGCUGCGUGUAUGAAGAAGGCCUUCGGGUUGUAAAGUCCUUUUGGCGGGGAAGAAAAGCGUAAAGUUAAUACCUAGCCUGACUGACGGUACCCGCAGAAGAAGCACCGGCUAACUCCGUG
RNAcentral lists this ribosomal RNA (490 nucleotides) under uncultured bacterium. Its description in RNAcentral is "partial 16S ribosomal RNA". It matches the Rfam family "Bacterial small subunit ribosomal RNA", at positions 29 to 507 of the family's 1533-position model. The record is from RNAcentral.